GAGAGAAUUACUUCCUCUCUCACUCAGCUGCAUUGUCACUGAGUGUGGUUCAUUUCUUCGCUUUAACGGUUGUAGUUAUUUAUACUAAAGUAUAUGAAGUUAUUUAAACAGUUUACUUAAUAGAGAUUUACCCAGCAGCCUGUGUUAUACAGAAUUACAGACCACUGGGUUAAAUUCCAUUUUAAGGGCCUGAAACAUGAUCUUCCAUGCUAGCUGUCUUGGCAGGCAGUGGGAAGCUGAGCAACCUUUUUGGAGAAAACCGUGGGGCAGUACUUGCUCACUAGCCAGAGCAAUAUCACCUGAUGGAUCUGAGGGCUGCAAGGAGCUCUCCAGAGAAAAAACAACUGCUACAACUCAGACUGCUACUGAAGUAACACAAAUUUGCCUGGCAAGCAUGAACAGAAAAAAGGGACAUUAUUACCAAGGGAGGCGAGCAUGUCGUGCAGGUCCUCUUUGUCAAUGAAGCCAUCCCUGUUCUGGUCGAUCAUGUUGAAGGCCUCCUUGA
Onychostruthus taczanowskii (white-rumped snowfinch) is the source of this 505-nucleotide long non-coding RNA. RefSeq lists it as uncharacterized. The transcript has 3 exons. The record is from RefSeq and is a predicted model, not a curated record. Lineage: Eukaryota; Metazoa; Chordata; Aves; Passeriformes; Passeridae.